RNAcentral lists this long non-coding RNA (479 nucleotides) under Gossypium barbadense (sea-island cotton). Its description in RNAcentral is "long non-coding RNA (GBAR_LNC003122)". Lineage: Eukaryota; Viridiplantae; Streptophyta; Magnoliopsida; Malvales; Malvaceae. The record is from RNAcentral.
AGGGAUAAUUGGUUGAAAAUGAUGGUAGGCACAACAAAUUAUUCCUCAUCCAAAACAUUUUAAUUUCUUUAAUCGAAUAUAGUAACUCAUUUGGUCCCUUGUCUUGCUCAUGCAAGGUAUGCCAUGGCCAAAGGUAUGCUAACUCUUCCUUUCGUUUUUGAACAACAUGAGGGGGGUCUCCAAAUUCCAACGUAAUAAUCACAUCAUCACAAUGCCAAAAGGAAAAAUCCAUCACAUCAAAGUAUAAAUAAUUUCCAAACAACCAAUCAAUGGAAUUUUCAACUUCAAUCGAAUUGAGCAAAGAUAUUUGAAAAUUGACGAAUAUGAAGAGAAGACAAUUGAGGAUUGGAUUUACCUUUCUCGGUCAAAAUGAAUCUUCUCUCUUUGGAUAGAUAACGUAAGACAAACCUAUUACUCCGAUAAAUUUGAAUAGGUGGUGACGCAGCAUGACAUGUCUUGCUCCUCGAAGGGUGGAAUUC